CAGUCCAGGAACUUUGGGAGCCACGGGUUACUGUGCAGACAUGGCCAAGUCCAAGAACCACAGCGCACACAACCAAUCCCAGAAAUGGCACAGAAAAGACAUUAAGAAACCUCAGUCACAAAAAUAUGAAUCUCUUAAGGGGAAAGACCCCAAGUUCCUGAGGAACAUGCUUUUUGCCAAGAAGCACAACAAGACAGGCCUGAAGAAAAUGCAGACCAACAAUGCCAAGGCCAUGAGUGCACGUGCUGAGGCUAUCAAGGCCCUUGUAAAGCCCAAGGAGGUCAAGCCCAAGAUCCCAAAGAGCACCAGCUGCAAGCUUGAUUGUCUUGCCUACAUCACCUACCCCAAGCUCGGGAAGCGUGCUCAUGCCCUCAUUGCCAAGGGUCUAAGGCUGUACCAGCCAAACAUCAAGGCAAAGGCUCAAACCAAAGUCUAGGAUGCAGUUUCAGCUGCAGCUCUGGUUUCAGCUUCAGUUCCAGCUCCAGCUCAGGCUCUGAAAGGUGCCCAGGCCCCACAAAGGCUCUGGAACACAGGGUUGGGGGAGCAGAGCAGGACUUCUCAGUCCCAGCAGGUAACCAUGGGUAGGACAACAAGGAAUAUCCUGCACCCUGCCCCCAGCUUCUCUACUGUCACAACAUGA
Molecule: RNA transcript, 640 nt
Organism: Galeopterus variegatus (Sunda flying lemur)
Lineage: Eukaryota; Metazoa; Chordata; Mammalia; Dermoptera; Cynocephalidae
Gene name: 60S ribosomal protein L29-like
Exons: 3
Source: RefSeq, a predicted model, not a curated record